GCGCGAUAUAGGGUUGUGUCGGAUCACGAUGGUCUAUAUGUGCUAUCGUGGAUGGAACCUGAUUAAAUUUGACUUAAGCCGGGCGAAGUUUUGCAAGGUUGUAGUAACUCCGUCUGUGGCAGCUAAGGACCGACCGUUGUACGUCCUCUUGUCAUGUUGAACGCAUGCCUGACACAUAGUGGGCCGGAUAACUCGUUCCGACCGCGAUGCCGAGUAGUAUGACUCAGGCCGGAAGACCGGCAAGUAUAAAGUGCGCACUACCAGAGGAAGUGCUGUGUGCGGGGGACCAUUGGUGUAAGCCCAAAGGCAGGUGAGUUAAAAUUCCUGACCUCCUUGGCAGAGUGGUAGCCCUGGGAGUGCGGCGCUGAUCGGAGCCGCGAUUCCUGAGUCGUACCAAAGGUGACCCGUUGGCUCUCCGACGGGGGAUGCUUGGGGGAGUGCUAGGAAUACCCCUCCAGCUGGAUAGGAAUUCGAUUCGAAUCGCCGUCUCUCCCGGUUAGUGAGAACUUGACAGAGUGUUGAUAUCUGGGAACGCAAUAAGG
Molecule: long non-coding RNA, 542 nt
Filed under: Sorghum bicolor (sorghum)
Lineage: Eukaryota; Viridiplantae; Streptophyta; Magnoliopsida; Poales; Poaceae
Description: long non-coding RNA (SBIC_LNC000995)
Source: RNAcentral